UUUUUCUUUUUCUUUUUUUCGGAGCUGGGGACCGAACCCAGGACCUUGCGCUUGCUAGGCAAGUGCUCUACCACUGAGCUAAAUCCCCAACCCCAAUGUUUUGUUUUUAAGGAAGAUACACCUGCCGAAUUAUGCCGACCCAUGCCUAUAAUUCCAGCAUUUGGAAGACCGAGGCAGGAGGAUUGUCUGAGUUGCCAGCUUGGCCAAAGAGUAAGACUCGGUCCAUCAAAAAGACGUAAGUCUCUCUUGGGAAAGGCUGAAGACAGUCAAGCUGUCUCUGCUGCCAGAACUGGAGGACCAUGGAUGACGUGGGACCCUGCACGACGAUCAUGCACCUCGGGUGCGCGUCAGUGAUCUCUUACCACGGUCUCUGUGGAAAUUCAGUAAAAAUACACGUGGUGCUUGGCGUUAGCCUGGAACACAGCAUUCCAGAUGCACGCCUGUCAGGUGUCCCCUCUCUUUCCAACCCUUUCCAGUCAAGGGAGCCUUCUUGAUUUCACAAAUUGAAACUGUU
This 514-nucleotide long non-coding RNA is filed under the name Rattus norvegicus (Norway rat). RNAcentral's name for it is "long non-coding RNA NONRATT022841". Lineage: Eukaryota; Metazoa; Chordata; Mammalia; Rodentia; Muridae. The record is from RNAcentral.